CAUACGGUAACUAAGAACCGCCUGUGGAAAUGCAUUUCUACAGGCGGUUCAGUUAUGCCAACCGCCUGUAGAAAUCUUUUUCCAGAAAAUAGGAAAUCGGUUUUUAAAAAUAGAAAAAAAGAUUUUAAUACAGGGAAGGCCCAUCAGCAAGUCGUGCUUUUUUCGCAAAAAAAAGGGUGCUUCGCGGCCGGUGGGAUUCGAAUCUAAGACCUUGUCCUUGCGCGUAGCCUCCUCUACCACUCCACCUAUCACUCACUUAAGUCUAUAUUAGAGUUUAGUUCCCCAC
Molecule: long non-coding RNA, 286 nt
Filed under: Sorghum bicolor (sorghum)
Lineage: Eukaryota; Viridiplantae; Streptophyta; Magnoliopsida; Poales; Poaceae
Description: long non-coding RNA (SBIC_LNC014872)
Source: RNAcentral